GUAAAUAUAGUUUAACAAAAAUAUUAGAUUGUGAGUCUGAUAAUAGAAGUGUAAAUCUUCUUAUUUACC
Molecule: transfer RNA, 69 nt
Filed under: Homotherium latidens (European saber-tooth cat)
Lineage: Eukaryota; Metazoa; Chordata; Mammalia; Carnivora; Felidae
Description: tRNA-His
Rfam family: tRNA
About the family: Transfer RNA (tRNA) molecules are approximately 80 nucleotides in length. Their secondary structure includes four short double-helical elements and three loops (D, anti-codon, and T loops). Further hydrogen bonds mediate the characteristic L-shaped molecular structure. tRNAs have two regions of fundamental functional importance: the anti-codon, which is responsible for specific mRNA codon recognition, and the 3' end, to which the tRNAs corresponding amino acid is attached (by aminoacyl-tRNA synthetases). tRNAs cope with the degeneracy of the genetic code in two manners: having more than one tRNA (with a specific anti-codon) for a particular amino acid; and 'wobble' base-pairing, i.e. permitting non-standard base-pairing at the 3rd anti-codon position.
Source: RNAcentral